RNAcentral lists this unclassified non-coding RNA (819 nucleotides) under Hevea brasiliensis (rubber tree). Lineage: Eukaryota; Viridiplantae; Streptophyta; Magnoliopsida; Malpighiales; Euphorbiaceae. The record is from RNAcentral.
GAAAAAUCGGCAGAAGAGAAUUUAUAAUAGUGAUCAAGACAAUAAAAAUAGCAUGGAAAUUCCUAAACAUAAAAAUGAAAGAUGCAAAUUUGAAAAACAAAUAGAUGAGAAAAUACUUGUUUUAUUCAAACAAAUAAACAACAUCAUAGCUGUUGUACAGUGAUUGAAAAACAAAUAUUUUGGGAGAAAGAAAAUGUAAUUAGCACUUGUAAGUUAUUACUCCACAGAACCUAGAAACACAAGGAAUGGUAAGGAUGUGGAUUUUUGCUUAGCUCAAAAUACAGUAUUCCUAGUUUCUUCAAUAUUUACAUAUAUGUCACACCUAUAUAUUUGUCCUUCGGCUAACCCUUUCUCCAGCCCAACAACCAAAAAAUGAGUUCAACAACAAUCUACUUUGACCUCCUCAUUCAAUCUCAUCGCUCUCCCCAAGGUUUAGAUAAAAAAGAAUUCACACCAAUAUUCUUUUGCAUGAAGUGUUAAGUGGUUUUGUUCAAUUAAUAAUUUUUCUCUUAUUUUCCAUGUGGGUUUCUGUUUAUCUUGUGAAUCUUAAAAUUUUGGCUCACUGAUUUGAUGAUUUCUUUAGCUACUAUGAGUUUGUUGACAUGUGCUCAAUUGGUUGGAUUAUCCCCCAAAGAAUUGAUGUUGCAAUUUUUACCAUGCAAGGCUUGCUUCUAUAACUGUUUCUUUUGCAUCAAUGAUGGUGUGGGCUAGAAGCAGAUUUGUAAUCUAAUAAGCAGGGCAGGUGAAAGUUGAUCAUGGCUAACGGCUAACCUAACUUGAAUGGCAGAAUAACUGUGAAGGAAAGUAUACUUGUUGAGG